GGGUGUUUAGCUCAGUUGGUAGAGUGACGCCCUUACAAGGCGUAGGUCGGGAGUUCAAUUCUCUCAACACCCACCA
RNAcentral lists this transfer RNA (76 nucleotides) under Candidatus Profftella armatura. Its description in RNAcentral is "tRNA-Val (TAC) (tRNA-Val-TAC-1-1)". It matches the Rfam family "tRNA". Rfam says of the family: Transfer RNA (tRNA) molecules are approximately 80 nucleotides in length. Their secondary structure includes four short double-helical elements and three loops (D, anti-codon, and T loops). Further hydrogen bonds mediate the characteristic L-shaped molecular structure. tRNAs have two regions of fundamental functional importance: the anti-codon, which is responsible for specific mRNA codon recognition, and the 3' end, to which the tRNAs corresponding amino acid is attached (by aminoacyl-tRNA synthetases). tRNAs cope with the degeneracy of the genetic code in two manners: having more than one tRNA (with a specific anti-codon) for a particular amino acid; and 'wobble' base-pairing, i.e. permitting non-standard base-pairing at the 3rd anti-codon position. Lineage: Bacteria; Pseudomonadati; Pseudomonadota; Betaproteobacteria. The record is from RNAcentral.